Molecule: long non-coding RNA, 908 nt
Filed under: Phaseolus vulgaris (common bean)
Lineage: Eukaryota; Viridiplantae; Streptophyta; Magnoliopsida; Fabales; Fabaceae
Description: long non-coding RNA (PVUL_LNC001616)
Source: RNAcentral
AAACCAACCCGAAUAUCAAAGAAAUAAGAGUAAAUUACUAAUACCCUACGAGGUUUCAUCAAAUUUACCUGACACCCCUCUCAUUUUUAUCAUUAAGUUAAUUCUUUGAUUGUUUAAAAUAUUACACUGACACCGACACCGACACCCCAUCUCACCAAAAAAGCACAGUAGAGUGUACUGGUUGCUUUAAAAAAAUGUAAUCUAUAAUAUCAAGAAACAUCAAUGUCAAUGGUGAGUGUUGUAAUUUGCUCAAAAGAUAAUGCAACACUCAGUUUAAAACAAAAGAAGUGUUCAAGCAUUGGAACACUUGUUGGACUAAUAAUCAACCAAUACAAUGUUCAGAGCAACAGAAUGCAACAACAUGGCAAUCGGAGAGAGAGUUGAAAGAAAACCCUUAAGGCAGAAGGUCCUCCACCGUAGCUGUUGUACUGAACCGCAUGCAUGAGCUUUCCCAUAUCCACAGUUGAGAAGAAGGAAGAAGGGUGUGGAGUGUGUAAGUGUGUAAGUGUGAAGUAGAAAGGAAAGAGGGAGUAGGAGAAAGGAAAAGAAAUAUGCAAAAGGGUAACGCGUGGAUAGGAAAAAGACAAGUGGUCGCAUCGCAUCCAUCCCUGUCUUUUUGCUUUGUCGCAUAGGUUUUACCAUGAUUAAGGAAAUUGCAUUUGUAAUUUAGUUUUUCGCAAAUCUACUUUGUGUCUACCCAAGUGUCUCUCUUUCUCCUACAUUCCAAUGUACUUGGAUUACUGCAAGCAACGAUAGAGUCAGAAAAUUUUCGUAGAUCAGAUUUUCUACAAAAUUAUACUGAGAAGUUACGGUUUAAUUAAGAUUAAAAAUGUUAGAUUAAUGAAAUUGUAUAAGAGAAAUACGAUUUUAAAAUGUUAAUCAAAGGGAAUAGUAUGGCUUCAAUACGG